AGCUGGACUGAGUGAGGUAGUCAGGGCAGUCAGUCCCCUGAAACCACAGGCAGCAGGCCCCACCUGCUUCAACUCUUAAAAACCAAGCCUUGCCUACAUUUUUUUUGCCUGGGGGAAAAAGUGAAAGUUCUUGUUCCAGACCUCCCAUGUGCUUUUUUGCUGGUCUUGUGGCUUUGACUCCCUACUCUGACUCUUGUUUCUGACUCUAAGACCCUUGGUGUUCUUUGGUUCUCUGCUCGUGAUUCUGGUUUGACUUUUGGCUUCUGAUCCCAGUUAACUUUCAGCUUGCUUUGUGUCUGGCUUUGGCUUCUGACCUCGGCUUAUCCUAUUAGCUACUGCUUGUGAAUCCAGUUUGACACCAGACCCUCUGGGCCCCAAUUCCCUGUGAAGGCAACAUGGACUACAUCUGCACUUCAGACUGCUUCAGAUUGCUGGCUAACCCAUAUUUAGCUGAGUUGAGGAUGUGCUCCCCAGAUGCUGCCAGCUGACCCAAAGCGCAUACGUGCAUUUUGUACAUGUCCCCACCUUGUGCCCCUGCUUUGUGGAGCUUUGCCAGUGCCCCAAGCAGCAAAUCCACUGCCUCCCACAACUCCAUCCCCCUAAAUAGGGGCUGCCUUUUCAAGGUGAAAGAGGGAUUGGUGGCUUCUGUAGAGGGCUCCUAGGAAGUGACUCUGAUUUUUGGGACUUCAAUUUGUGGUGAAUCCAGAGCAACCCAUCAGUCAAACUGUUCCAUCAGACGUUCUGGAGGAAGUCUUGGGGUACUAUUCGGUGAUGAAGCUGUGGCCCAUACAAGUAAAAUUUCACAAACCAGAAUCGCACCCCAGGAAGUGCUGUUUUCCAUGUUUAUUAUGGGUGGGUGGGUGGAUGUAUGAGGUUUGGUUUGGUUUUUUGUGUUGGGGCAGGGGUUGGUUGCUUAUUUUUGAGGAGAGUUUUGUUGCAAAGGCAGUGGGAUUUCCUAGUAGAUUGCCAUUUAAAAUUACAGUUAAGGAGGAUUUGGUGCCCCUCAGGCUUUGAUCAGCUUUGGUCAGUGGUUCCCUGGGGCUUGAAGAGCUCCAAGUAUAGUUCAGUCUCUCCUAACCUCUUUACAAACUUGCACCACAUCCUCCAAAUGGGAUGGGAGGGGAAAGGAAAACUAGAGAGACACAGCAGGUAGCAGAUACUGUCGUUAUUGAAGCAACCUGCUGUCUUUGUUAGCACUUUUUAGUUUUCAUUUGCAUUGUGGUUUCCUGGUCACACCUUUUUUGAAAGUUUAAAAAACACACUUACUUUUUAACAGUGGACUGAUCUGACUUCAUUGUUAACUUUUACUCACAAAUAUAUACAUGGAAAGUUCUCUUUUAAAGAAUGCAUUGUCCACUCAGUUACAAAGAAACAGGAAGUUGCAGUCAGGUUUUGCUGUAAGCUGCAGGAAGCUGCCAAAAGGUUUUAUUGAACUUGUUGUUUUUUCUUAAAAACCAAGAAGUCAGCACAAGCCAAGCCAGUAGCACCCCGUGUCCCAAGCUAGCAUGCGUAAAGAGUUACAUUUGAUAUUUAUUCAAAACCAAGGAGUUAUGGUUCUUGGGGAUAUAUAUUAGUGGGAAGUCCUGUGGGCACAUAUAUGACAUUGAUCACUAUUGCCUGAAACUCAAUUAUUUAUACCUUGUCUCUGAUGCUAGUAACCCUCGGGUAAACAACUUCCAUAAUAGCACUGCAUAUCUGCACCAUCAGCAGCAGCCUUAGAGUAGACUUGCCAAUAAACUACGUAGUCUUGGGCCUAUAGUAGUUGUUGGCAGUUGGGUUCUAGACAGAAAUUGCAAUCUACUUACUUACUGGUAUUGGAUCCCUCUAUUCUGUGCUUUGAUAGAUGGUUGGGGUAGGCUACUCACACAGGUCCAUGAACAUCUGUUUCCUUAGCAGAAGUCCUGAAGCCACUGCGGGAUAUCCCAUGUUUGCAAAAUGUCAUCCUUUCACUAAGUUAUAAUAGGUCUUUAUCUCCACAAAUGCCAGUAUACAUUUGAGGAUACAGGGGCAAGUGCAGCAUUCAGCAUGUUUCCCAAAUUUAGUUUCCACCAUGCUAUCUGUGUCUAGAGCCCUUACACAUUCCUGUAAUCCCCCAAAUCCUUCCAACUUCUCUAUGGUCACGUCUACAUGUACAUUAAUGUGCUGUGGUUACUGUGCAUUAAGUUUAGUACUUGUAAUAACAGGUACUAACUAAAUGUACAGUGCAGUAACCUUUUUAAAUGCCUUCUGAUUGAUGCUAAUGCACAGUAGAUUAAUUCUACUGCUUAUUAGCACAAUAGCACGACUUUUGCUGUGGUUUAACCUACCACGCAUUUAACUUCUUGUGUAGAUGCACCCUAUGAAGAACUGUUCCACAUCAUAAACAGUUGGGUCACAGGUAGAAGAGUUCCUCUAAUGGCUCAGUGAUUCUGGCCAUUUCUGCAGCACUCUGAGCCAAAAUAGCCACUUGUGAUGGAGGGUUAAAAAAACUAAAACACUGUGCCUUUGGGACCAUUUAGAAAACAAGCUGUCCCACAAUGCACCAAAGACCAGUUCCUAGAAUUGCUCUACCAAGUAUGGAACCUGGCAUAUGUCCCCUUAAAUCUCACUGCACACACGCAUCAGUAAAGACAAUGUGCAUGGGUAAUGAGGGGAUUAACACGUGUCAGAGAAAUAACAACAUAAAUGGGGAAAAGGGCAGUUUGCCUGUCUUGGGCUUUCUGACACUGGGCAGUAUAGAGAUACCCAAUAGGGCUGUGUGAAGCUUUGGUCAAUUAUUCGAUUCACCAGAGAUUCAGCCCAAUUCGGUGGCCAAAUCUCCAAAUCCAAAUUGAAUCAGGAGACCCUUUAAUCUUUCCAAAUUGAAUUGGAAUCCUCCGAAUCAAUUUGGAGAGAUUCGACAAUUCGGACGUAGACUCAGCUUUAAAUG
Alligator mississippiensis (American alligator) is the source of this 2908-nucleotide long non-coding RNA. RefSeq lists it as uncharacterized. The transcript is spliced from 3 exons. The record is from RefSeq and is a predicted model, not a curated record. NCBI's taxonomy places the organism in Eukaryota, Metazoa, Chordata, Crocodylia, Alligatoridae.